UUUCUGAUCCAGAUUCAACGUCAUCUCACCGUCACGAUCAAAACACCAAGUUUAACCGGCGUGCGAGAGGGCGGAGGCCGGCACGACGCACACCUCCACCAGCGGCAAGCCGGCGAUGCUCCCGCCGCCACGCCAUUAUAUAAUCCCGUCCCCAUCCCGAUAGACACGACGAAUCCCCAACCCACGCACGGGCGAAGAAAUUAUUGAGAAAAAUUAAUCCGAGCCCGCCGCCGCCAGCCACCAUACUCCCCUCCCUCCUCGCCACCGUCGGCUCCCUCGCCACAGGCACCGUCGCGGCCCUCGCGGCGGCUGCGGCGGGGGCGGCGGCGCACGCGGGCUCCCUGCCCCGCUCCCGCUUCGCGGCGGCGGUCAUGUCGACGGCCCGCGUCUACGCCGACGUGAACGUGCACCGCCCAAGGGAGUACUGGGACUACGAGGCCCUCGCCGUCCAAUGGGGUGAGCAGGAUGAUUACGAGGUUGUGCGGAAAGUAGGCAGAGGGAAAUACAGUGAAGUAUUUGAAGGAAUUAAUGUAACAAAUGAUGAGCGUUGUGUCAUUAAAAUCCUCAAGCCUGUUAAGAAAAAGAAGAUAAAGAGGGAAAUCAAGAUUCUUCAGAACCUUUGUGGCGGUCCAAAUAUUAUUAAGCUUCUCAAUAUUGUGAGAGAUCAGCAAUCCAAAACUCCAAGUUUGGUAUUCGAAUAUGUAGACAGCACAGAUUUCAAAGUUCUUUAUCCAACAUUUACAGAUUAUGACGUCCGGUUCUAUAUUUAUGAACUUCUCAAGGCAUUAGAUUACUGCCACUCGCAAGGUAUUAUGCAUCGUGAUGUCAAGCCUCAUAAUGUUAUGAUUGACCAUGAGCUUCGCAAGCUUCGCUUAAUUGAUUGGGGACUUGCUGAGUUUUACUUUCCUGAGAAGGAGUACAAUGUUCGUGUUGCUUCAAGGUAUUUUAAAGGGCCUGAAUUGCUGGUUGACUUCCAAGGGUACGAUUACUCUUUGGACAUGUGGAGCCUUGGUUGUAUGUUUGCUGGAAUGAUAUUCCGCAAGGAACCAUUCUUCUAUGGCCAUGAUAACCAUGAUCAGCUUGUCAAGAUAGCCAAGGUGCUAGGUACUGAUCAAUUUAAUGCUUAUUUGAGUAAAUACAGAAUUGUGCUUGAUCCUCAGCUUGAGGCACUGCUUGGGAGGCAUAGCAAGAAACCUUGGUCUAAGUUCGUCAGUGCUGAUAAUAGGCAUCUCGUCUCCGCAGAGGCAAUUGAUUUUCUCGAUAGACUUCUUCGCUAUGACCAUCAAGACAGGCUUACAGCCCGUGAAGCUAUGGUAGGUUCAUGUCAGCUAUUCAUUUAAAAGAUGAGACGGUAUUGGUUGACCAUGUACAUUGCAAACAGUGCAACUUGUUGCCCUGGAGUCAGGCGCAUGUCUACUUUCAACAGGUUAGGGCAGCAGAAAACAGCAGGCCGAGGUCGUAGACAGUGGAAUAGAAAAACAAUCUGAUGGUGUUGAGCUGGAGUGCUGGAAUAUGGUCAGUGUGUUGCAGAUUUGGAGCGAUCUAUCGUCGACACAUUCCAAGGGUUGAUAACUGGAACGGAUGCUUACAUGCUCUUCUCUGACACGCUGAGCGCUGAGUACUAUGUUUGAAUUUUAGAAAUUGAAAGUUUGUUUUUGUAGUAGACUUGAAAGUUUACCGGAAGUCUAUAAAGCAGAUACGCUAUGAAUUGCCAAGAUACUCGAAACUAACGAGGUCGGAUAUUGUAGGAGUCCACCACGUCAUCCAGAAAUGGCAAACAAAUGGGCUAUCACUUUCAGUAGUAUCAUGUCUAGUAAUCAA
Molecule: RNA transcript, 1821 nt
Organism: Brachypodium distachyon (stiff brome)
Lineage: Eukaryota; Viridiplantae; Streptophyta; Magnoliopsida; Poales; Poaceae
Gene name: casein kinase II subunit alpha-2
Exons: 10
Source: RefSeq, a predicted model, not a curated record